Molecule: long non-coding RNA, 412 nt
Organism: Micropterus salmoides (largemouth bass)
Lineage: Eukaryota; Metazoa; Chordata; Actinopteri; Centrarchiformes; Centrarchidae
Exons: 3
Source: RefSeq, a predicted model, not a curated record
ACAAAGGACACUACAGUUCAAUGGAUUGUGCUGGAGUGAUCCUGUAUUGUGCAGAGAACGCCACUCAGGUUGCGUUGGAUGGCAUUCAGUGUUUGGGUGGGAAUGGCUACAUCAACGACUACCCCAUGGGACGAUAUUUGCGUGACGCAAAGCUGUACGAAAUCGGCGCCGGCACAAGUGAAAUUCGCCGGCUUAUCAUUGGACGAGCCUUCAACUCCAUGUUUAAAUAAUCAGAACUGAGAAAUGGAAAUCGCUAAAGACUGUACGAGUGGUUUGCUGUGGAUGAACACAGUUACUGACACCGAAGGCCUUAUACUGUAUGAACUGCUGCUGCCAGAUGUCAAAUCAUCAUGCAUCAGAAUCAUUGUCAACUGUGAUUUUAAUUCAUAUAUAUAUAUAUAUAUAUAUAUAU